This is a non-coding RNA of Monosiga brevicollis, 72 nucleotides long. The record is from Rfam. Lineage: Eukaryota; Choanoflagellata; Craspedida; Salpingoecidae.
AGGUAUUUAGUUCAGUGGUAGAACACCUAUCUUACACGUAGGGGGUCAAUGGUUCAAGUCCAUUAAUACCUA